This 70-nucleotide transfer RNA is filed under the name Babina holsti (dagger frog). RNAcentral's name for it is "transfer RNA-Ala". It matches the Rfam family "tRNA". From Rfam's summary of the family: Transfer RNA (tRNA) molecules are approximately 80 nucleotides in length. The record is from RNAcentral. Lineage: Eukaryota; Metazoa; Chordata; Amphibia; Anura; Ranidae. RNAcentral also lists the same sequence under 1 other name.
AGGGCUUUAUCUUAAUUUAAAGGGUCUGAGUUGCAUUCAGAAGAUGUAGGUUAAUAUCCUGCAGGUCCUA